CCUACGGUGGGCAGCAGUGGGGAAUAUUGCACAAUGGGGGAAACCCUGAUGCAGCAACGCCGCGUGCGUGAAGAAGGUUUUCGGAUUGUAAAGCUCUGUUAGCAGGGAAGAGGAAGGACGGUACCUGCAGAGGAAGCCACGGCUAACUACGUGCCAGCAGCCGCGGUAAUACGUAGGUGGCAAGCGUUGUUCGGAAUAACUGGGCGUAAAGGAUGCGUAGGCGGCAGCGCAAGUCUGAAGUGAAAUGCCGGGGCUUAACCCCGGAACUGCUUUGGAAACUGUGCAGCUAGAGUGCAGGAGAGGUAAGUGGAAUUCCUAGUGUAGCGGUGAAAUGCGUAGAUAUUAGGAGGAACACCAGUGGCGAAGGCGGCUUACUGGACUGUAACUGACGUUGAGGCUCGAAAGCGUGGGGAGCAAACAGGAUUAGAUACCCUGGUAGUC
This 441-nucleotide ribosomal RNA is filed under the name uncultured bacterium. RNAcentral describes it as "partial 16S ribosomal RNA". It matches the Rfam family "Bacterial small subunit ribosomal RNA", at positions 338 to 795 of the family's 1533-position model. The record is from RNAcentral.